Molecule: ribosomal RNA, 329 nt
Filed under: uncultured eukaryote
Lineage: Eukaryota
Description: partial 18S ribosomal RNA
Rfam family: Eukaryotic small subunit ribosomal RNA
Source: RNAcentral
CCCUUAGAUGUCCUGGGCCGCACGCGCGCUACACUGAGUGUCUGAGAUACGAGUCUGCCUGGUCCGGCAAGGUCUAGGUAAUCGCUAAAAGACACAUCAUGCUUGGGAUAGAUUAUUGCAAAUAUUAAUCUUGAACGAGGAAUUCCUAGUAAGCGCAAGUCAACAGCUUGCGUUGAUUACGUCCCUGCCCUUUGUACACACCGCCCGUCGCUACUACUGAUUGGAUGUUUAAGCGAGGUUCUCGAACUGCUAGCGACUUAGCUUCGGUGAGGUCGCAGUGUGGGAAGUGAACCUAGCUCUGGUGUCUAGAGGAAGUAAAAGUCGUAACA